CUGGCGGCGAGUGGCGAACGGGUGAGUAAUACAUCGGAACGUGCCCUGUCGUGGGGGAUAACUAGUCGAAAGAUUAGCUAAUACCGCAUACGACCUGAGGGUGAAAGCGGGGGACCGCAAGGCCUCGCGCGAUAGGAGCGGCCGAUGUCUGAUUAGCUAGUUGGUGGGGUAAAGGCCUACCAAGGCGACGAUCAGUAGCUGGUCUGAGAGGACGAUCAGCCACACUGGGACUGAGACACGGCCCAGACUCCUACGGGAGGCAGCAGUGGGGAAUUUUGGACAAUGGGGGCAACCCUGAUCCAGCAAUGCCGCGUGUGUGAAGAAGGCCUUCGGGUUGUAAAGCACUUUUGUCCGGAAAGAAAUCCUCUGCCCUAAUACGGCGGGGGGAUGACGGUACCGGAAGAAUAAGCACCGGCUAACUACGUGCCAGCAGCCGCGGUAAUACGUAGGGUGCGAGCGUUAAUCGGAAUUACUGGGCGUAAAGCGUGCGCAGGCGGUUUGAUAAGACAGGCGUGAAAUCCCCGAGCUUAACUUGGGAAUGGCGCUUGUGACUGUCAGGCUAGAGUAUGUCAGAGGGGGGUAGAAUUCCACGUGUAGCAGUGAAAUGCGUAGAGAUGUGGAGGAAUACCGAUGGCGAAGGCAGCCCCCUGGGACGUCACU
This 660-nucleotide ribosomal RNA is filed under the name Cupriavidus sp. G-YH-1121. RNAcentral describes it as "bacterial SSU rRNA". It matches the Rfam family "Bacterial small subunit ribosomal RNA", at positions 85 to 741 of the family's 1533-position model. Lineage: Bacteria; Pseudomonadati; Pseudomonadota; Betaproteobacteria; Burkholderiales; Burkholderiaceae. The record is from RNAcentral.